GUGUCAGCAGCCGCGGUAAUACGUAGGGGGCAAGCGUUGUCCGGAUUUAUUGGGCGUAAAGAGCGUGUAGGCGGCCGCACAGGUCCGUUGUGAAAACUGGAGGCUUAACCUUCAGACGUCGAUGGAAACCGUGCGGCUAGAGUCCGGAAGAGGAGAAUGGAAUUCCUGGUGUAGCGGUGAAAUGCGCAGAUAUCAGGAAGAACACCCGUGGCUAAGGCGGUUCUCUAGUACGGUACUGACGCUGAGACGCGAAAGCGUGGGGAGCGAACAGGAUUAGAAACCCCCGUAGUCC
Molecule: ribosomal RNA, 292 nt
Filed under: uncultured bacterium
Lineage: Bacteria
Description: partial 16S ribosomal RNA
Rfam family: Bacterial small subunit ribosomal RNA
Source: RNAcentral